GUCUUGUAUGGCUUUUUAUUCCUAUGUGAUUAUACAUCCCACUUCAUAUAGGGAUUGAAGCCGUGCAAUAC
This 71-nucleotide microRNA precursor is filed under the name Cyanoderma ruficeps (rufous-capped babbler). RNAcentral describes it as "miRNA (ENSCRFG00000007507.1)". It matches the Rfam family "mir-135 microRNA precursor family", at positions 9 to 80 of the family's 88-position model. Rfam says of the family: The hairpin precursors (represented here) are predicted based on base pairing and cross-species conservation -- their extents are not known. The record is from RNAcentral. Lineage: Eukaryota; Metazoa; Chordata; Aves; Passeriformes; Timaliidae.